UACGUAGGGUGCGAGCGUUAAUCGGAAUUACUGGGCGUAAAGUGUGCGCAGGCGGCUUCGCAAGUCGAGUGUGAAAUCCCCGGGCUUAACUUGGGAACGGCGCUCGAAACUACGGAGCUAGAGUAUGGCAGAGGGAGGUGGAAUUCCACGUGUAGCGGUGAAAUGCGUAGAGAUGUGGAGGAACACCAAUGGCGAAGGCAGCCUCCUGGGCCAAUACUGACGCUCAUGCACGAAAGCGUGGGGAGCAAACAGG
RNAcentral lists this ribosomal RNA (253 nucleotides) under uncultured bacterium. Its description in RNAcentral is "partial 16S ribosomal RNA". It matches the Rfam family "Bacterial small subunit ribosomal RNA", at positions 524 to 776 of the family's 1533-position model. The record is from RNAcentral.